GCAAUACACCAGCGGCAGACGGGAGAGUAACACGUGGGAACGUGCCCUUCAGUUCGGAACAACCCAGGGAAACUUGGGCUAAUACCGGAUACGUCCGAAAGGAGAAAGAUUUAUCGCUGAAGGAUCGGCCCGCGUCUGAUUAGCUUGUUGGUGAGGUAACGGCUCACCAAGGCGACGAUCAGUAGCUGGUCUGAGAGGAUGAUCAGCCUCACUGGGACUGAGACACGGCCCAGACUCCUACGGGAGGCAGCAGUAGGGAAUAUUGGACAAUGGGCGCAAGCCUGAUCCAGCCAUGCCGCGUGGGUGAUGAAGGCCCUAGGG
This 321-nucleotide ribosomal RNA is filed under the name uncultured bacterium. RNAcentral's name for it is "bacterial SSU rRNA". It matches the Rfam family "Bacterial small subunit ribosomal RNA", at positions 84 to 422 of the family's 1533-position model. The record is from RNAcentral.